Nannospalax galili (Upper Galilee mountains blind mole rat) is the source of this 136-nucleotide small nucleolar RNA. The record is from Ensembl. Lineage: Eukaryota; Metazoa; Chordata; Mammalia; Rodentia; Spalacidae.
AUGCAUGCGUGUGUGCCUCCCACACACAGAAAAAAUGGAACAGAAAUAGCAACUUGGAAGAAAACUUGGCACGCCUAAGGUCUUUGGGGGGCAAGGGAUGCCCAUUUCCUUUGUCCCACUUUGCCUGCCUGCAUAC